Molecule: ribosomal RNA, 426 nt
Filed under: uncultured bacterium
Lineage: Bacteria
Description: partial 16S ribosomal RNA
Rfam family: Bacterial small subunit ribosomal RNA
Source: RNAcentral
GUGAGGAAUUUUCCGCAAUGGGCGAAAGUCUGACGGAGCAAUGCCGCGUGAAGGAUGAAGGCCUAUGGGUUGUAAACUUCUUUUCUUAGAGAAGAAUAUUGACGGUAUCUGAGGAAUAAGCAUCGGCUAACUCUGUGCCAGCAGCCGCGGUAAGACAGAGGAUGCAAGCGUUAUCCGGAAUGAUUGGGCGUAAAGCGUCUGUAGGUGGCUUCAAAAGUCUCCUGUCAAAGAUCAGGGCUUAACCCUGGGCCGGCAGGAGAAACUCUGAGGCUAUAGUUUGGUAGGGGCAGAGGGAAUUCCCGGUGGAGCGGUGAAAUGCGUAGAGAUCGGGAGGAACACCAAAGGCGAAAGCACUCUGCUGGGCCACAACUGACACUGAGAGACGAAAGCGAGGGGAGCAAAAGGGAUUAGAAACCCGUGUAGUCC